This 617-nucleotide ribosomal RNA is filed under the name uncultured bacterium. RNAcentral's name for it is "bacterial SSU rRNA". The stretch from base 1 to 520 matches the Rfam family "Bacterial small subunit ribosomal RNA", at positions 338 to 873 of the family's 1533-position model. The record is from RNAcentral.
CCUACGGGAGGCAGCAGUGAGGAAUUUUCCGCAAUGGGCGAAAGCCUGACGGAGCAAUACCGCGUGAGGGAUGAAGGAUUUUGGUCUGUAAACCUCUUUUCUCAAGAAAGAAGUUCUGACGGUACUUGAGGAAUAAGCAUCGGCUAACUCCGUGCCAGCAGCCGCGGUAAUACGGGGGAUGCAAGCGUUAUCCGGAAUGAUUGGGCGUAAAGCGCCUGUAGGUUGUUUAUUAAGUCCGUUGUUAAAGCCUAGGGCUCAACCCUAGAAAAGCAAUGGAAACUAGUAGACUAGAGUAUGGCAGGGGUAGAGGGAAUUUCUAGUGUAGCGGUGAAAUGCGUAGAUAUUAGAAAGAACACCGGUGGCGAAAGCGCUCUACUGGACCAUUACUGACACUCAGAGGCGAAAGCUAGGGUAGCAAAAGGGAUUAGAUACCCCUGUAGUCCUAGCCGUAAACGAUGGAUACUAGAUGUUGUGCAUUAUGUACAGUAUACGUAGUACUACGUACGUUAAGUAGUCCGUCCGUCGGGUAGGUACGUCGUCGCGAGGUAGGAACGUACGAAAGAAAGUUAGUACGGCGUGAGUAACGUGCCGACGGACGACGACGAGGGGAGGUUAGG